AGUCACUGACAUUAGAUACCCCGGUAGUCCAGGGUGUAAACGCUGCAGACUUGGUGUUGGAGGCCCUUUGGGGCAUUCAGUGCCGGAGAGAAGUUGUUAAGUCUGCUACUUGGGGAGUACGUCCGCAAGGAUGAAACUUAAAGGAAUUGGCGGGGGAGCACCGCAACGGGAGGAGCGUGCGGUUUAAUUGGAUUCAACACCGUAAACUCACCAGGGAAGACUGUUACAUGAAGGCCGAGAUGAAGACUCUGCUAGAUUUUCAG
Molecule: ribosomal RNA, 263 nt
Filed under: uncultured archaeon
Lineage: Archaea
Description: partial 16S ribosomal RNA
Rfam family: Archaeal small subunit ribosomal RNA
Source: RNAcentral